UACGGGGGGGGCAAGCGUUGUUCGGAAUUACUGGGCGUAAAGGGCUCGUAGGCGGCCAACUAAGUCACACGUGGAAUCCCUCGGCUCAACCGGGGAACUGCGUGUGAGACUGGAUGGCUUGAGUUUGGGAGAGGAAUGCGGAAUUCCAGGUGUAGCGGUGAAAUGCGUAGAUAUCUGGAGGAACACCGGUGGCGAAGGCGGCAUUCUGGACCAAUACUGACGCUGAGGAGCGAAAGCCAGGGGAGCAAACGGG
RNAcentral lists this ribosomal RNA (253 nucleotides) under uncultured bacterium. RNAcentral describes it as "partial 16S ribosomal RNA". It matches the Rfam family "Bacterial small subunit ribosomal RNA", at positions 524 to 776 of the family's 1533-position model. The record is from RNAcentral.